RNAcentral lists this ribosomal RNA (198 nucleotides) under uncultured bacterium. RNAcentral describes it as "partial 16S ribosomal RNA". It matches the Rfam family "Bacterial small subunit ribosomal RNA", at positions 326 to 539 of the family's 1533-position model. The record is from RNAcentral.
ACGCUCGACACCUACGGAAGGCAGCAGUGGGGAAUAUUGCACAAUGGGGGAAACCCUGAUGCAGCAACGCCGCGUGAAGGAAGACGGUUUUCGGAUUGUAAACUUCUGUUCUUAGUGAAGAUAGUGACGGUAGCUAAGGAGCAAGCCACGGCUAACUACGUACCAGCAGCCGCGGUAAUCUGAGCGGGCUGGCAAGGC